Molecule: ribosomal RNA, 440 nt
Filed under: uncultured bacterium
Lineage: Bacteria
Description: partial 16S ribosomal RNA
Rfam family: Bacterial small subunit ribosomal RNA
Source: RNAcentral
CCUACGGGUGGCAGCAGUGGGGGAUAUUGCACAAUGGGGGAAACCCUGAUGCAGCGACGCCGCGUGUGGGAAGACGGUCCUCUGGAUUGUAAACCACUGUCCCCAGGGACGAAGAUGACGGUACCUGGGGAGGAAGCUCCGUCUAACUACGUGCCAGCAGGCGCGGUAAUACGUAGGGGGCGCGCGUUGUCAGGAAUUACUGGGUGUAAGGGGAGCGUAGGCGGGGAUGCAAGUUGGGGGUAAAAACUACCGGCUCAACUGGUAGUCGAACUCAAAACUGCAGCUCUUGAGUGAAGUAGAGGCAGGCGGAAUUCGUAGUGUAGCGGUGAAAUGCGUAGAUAUUAGGAGGAACCCCAGUGGCGAAGGCGGCCUGCUGGGCUUUUACUGACGCUGAGGCUCGAAAGUGUGGGGAGCAAACAGGAUUAGAUACCCUAGUAGUC